Molecule: ribosomal RNA, 445 nt
Filed under: uncultured bacterium
Lineage: Bacteria
Description: partial 16S ribosomal RNA
Rfam family: Bacterial small subunit ribosomal RNA
Source: RNAcentral
GUAGGGAAUAUUGGGCAAUGGAUGCAAGUCUGACCCAGCCAUCCCGCGUGCCGGAAGAAGGCCCUCAGGGUUGUAAACGGCUUUUGACGGUGAAGAAUCGACAGGAUGCGUCCUGUUUUGACGGUAGUCGUUGAAUAAGCACCGGCUAACUCCGUGCCAGCAGCCGCGGUAAUACGGAGGGUGCGAGCGUUGUCCGGAUUUAUUGGGUUUAAAGGGUGCGUAGGCUGGAAGGUCAGUCAGCGGUGAAAAGCUGUCGCUUAACGAUAGUCUUGCCGCAGAUACUUCCUUUCUUGGAUGAGGAGGAGGCCACUGGAACGGAUGGUGUAGCGGUGAAAUGCAUAGAUAUCAUCCAGAACACCGAUUGCGAAGGCAGGUGGCUGUACCUUAAUCGACGCUGAUGCACGAAAGCAUGGGGAGCAAACAGGAUUAGAAACCCGGGUAGUCC